This 788-nucleotide ribosomal RNA is filed under the name uncultured archaeon. RNAcentral's name for it is "bacterial SSU rRNA". It matches the Rfam family "Archaeal small subunit ribosomal RNA", at positions 84 to 879 of the family's 1478-position model. The record is from RNAcentral.
UACGGCUCAGUAACACGUAGCUAACCUGCCCUUAGGUCAAGAAUACCCUCGGGAAACUGAGGUUAAAUCUUGAUAGAAAAUUUUUCCUGGAAUGGUUUAUUUUUGAAACUCGAGCCUAAGGAUGGGGCUGCGGCUGAUUAGGUUGUUGUUGGGGUAAAAGCCUAACAAGCCGAUGAUCAGUAAGGGCUCUUAGCGGAGAAGCCCUGAGAAGGAAUCUGAGACACUAUUCCUAGCUCUACGGGGUGCAGCAGUCGAGGAACUUUUACAAUGCUCGAAAGAGUGAUAGAAUUAGCCAGAGUGUUUCUCAUAGAGAAACUUUUGCCAAAUGUAAAAAGUUUGGCGAAUAAGGACUGGGCAAGACCGGUGCCAGCCGCCGCGGUAAUACCGGCGGUCCGAGUCGCAUCCACAUUUAUUGGGUCUAAAACAUUCGUAGCUUGUUUUGUAAGUUUCUUGUGAAAUCCUGUAUCUCAAAUUCAGGGCGCGCAAGAAAUACUACAUUGCUAGAGACCGGAAGACGCAAAGAGUACGGAGGAGGUAGUGGUAAAAUAUGUUAAUCUCCUCUGGACUAACAAUGGCGAAGGCACUUUGCGAGUACGGAUCUGACAGUGAGGGAUGAAGGCCAGGGGCGCAAAAGGGAUUAGAUACCCCUGUAGUCCUGGCAGUAAACACUGCUCACUAAACAUUGGGAUCUCCUCGAGAGAUUUCAGUGCUGUAGGGAAGCCGAAGAGUGAGCUACCUGGGAAGUAUAGUCGCAAGACCGAAACUUAAAGGAAUUGGCGGGGGAGCAC